AUCAAGGUGAAAAGCGCUUAUGCAAAUAAGCUACGAAAACAAAUCAAGGCGAAAACAAAUCAUGGAUUCGCGUUUACAAUAACAACAUCACGCUUCAUAUCAGAGCAUCGCGCUCAUCACUAUAGCUCAUGGAUUCGUGUUCUUGGAUUUAUUUCGACAUCAUUCAUGGAAGUUCGUAAAACCGAGGCGAGACUCAGAUCGAAACGAGAAAUGACUCACCGAAUUUCCAAGAACAGGUUAGCUUAUGGAGAUCGAAACAGGUAUCUCUGCGAAACCCUUUCGGUGUUCAGAAUUUGGUCUUCCCUAUUUUAUGCUUGGAUCCGGAGAAGGCUAUAGCACAGCGUUUCUGAAUCAUCACAGCAAGAGAUAUACAGCUUUAAAAGUAAUGUGCUUUGAAAAAAGGUGUUUUUGUUAUGAAAAUCCUAGGGUGGAGUUCUAGUAUGGAUGAAGUUCUUAGAUCCGCUUCUGGUUCGGUUGAGGAUGUGAAACUGUUUUGCUAUGAUCAAACUCAGAUUUGAGAAGAAGUUCUUUUUGGGUGUGGUUGGUUUUCUUGAUUUCAAUUGAUUUUGUUCAUACCGUGCAGGUUAACCAUUUGCCUUGGAAGUUAUGUUAGAGGCUGCUAUGGAGUUUUCGGUUUUGUAUGGAGGUUAACCAACCAAUUAGUAAGGGCAGAUUCAGGUUGUGGCUUUGAAUCGUGCUGUUGGAGGUUAGGUGGAUAUCAUUUGGGUUGAAAUUCGUUGGACAGUUGGAAGUUCGGUUGGAAUUUGUUAUGAUUCUAUUCUAAAUUCAGUUGAAAUUUGGAAAUUCGGUUAGAUGUUGGUUUUUACUAAAGUUCUAUUAGUGAAGUGAUUUAGAAAAUGCUGUUAGAUAGUGAAUUAUUCUUUUGUGCAGUUAGUAAAAAUGUUGUUAUGAAUAUUGUUAAUUCUGUUAGAUGUUGAAUGUUGUUAGUUCAAUUGAUUAUAAUGCUUUUAAUCGAAACUGAUGGAAAUAUGUUAUAUUAGCUAAUGUGAAGUGAAAAAUCAGAAUUGAAACGAACAUUGUAUUUCUUACCAA
Long non-coding RNA from Lathyrus oleraceus (garden pea), 1053 nucleotides. RefSeq lists it as uncharacterized. The record is from RefSeq and is a predicted model, not a curated record. NCBI's taxonomy places the organism in Eukaryota, Viridiplantae, Streptophyta, Magnoliopsida, Fabales, Fabaceae. The transcript is spliced from 4 exons.